UCGACCUGCAGGCGGCCGCGAAUUCACUAGUGAUUAGAGUUUGAUCAUGGCUCAGAACGAACGCUGGCGGCAUGCCUAACACAUGCAAGUCGAACGAACCCUUCGGGGUUAGUGGCGCACGGGUGCGUAACGCGUGGGAAUCUGCCCUUGGCUUCGGAAUAACAGUUAGAAAUGACUGCUAAUACCGGAUGAUGUCUUCGGACCAAAGAUUUAUCGGCCAGGGAUGAGCCCGCGUAGGAUUAGGUAGUUGGUGGGGUAAAGGCCUACCAAGCCGACGAUCCUUAGCUGGUCUGAGAGGAUGAUCAGCCACACUGGGACUGAGACACGGCCCAGACUCCUACGGGAGGCAGCAGUGGGGAAUAUUGGACAAUGGGCGCAAGCCUGAUCCAGCAAUGCCGCGUGAGUGAUGAAGGCCUUAGGGUCGUAAAGCUCUUUUACCCGGGAUGAUAAUGACAGUACCGGGAGAAUAAGCUCCGGCUAACUCCGUGCCAGCAGCCGCGGUAAUACGAAUCGAAUUCCCGCGGCCGCC
RNAcentral lists this ribosomal RNA (529 nucleotides) under uncultured Alphaproteobacteria bacterium. Its description in RNAcentral is "bacterial SSU rRNA". It matches the Rfam family "Bacterial small subunit ribosomal RNA", at positions 1 to 549 of the family's 1533-position model. Lineage: Bacteria; Pseudomonadati; Pseudomonadota; Alphaproteobacteria. The record is from RNAcentral.